AACGCGAAGAACCUUACCUGGGUUUGACAUGCACAGGACGUGCCUAGAGAUAGGUAUUCCCUUGUGGCCUGUGUGCAGGUGGUGCAUGGCUGUCGUCAGCUCGUGUCGUGAGAUGUUGGGUUAAGUCCCGCAACGAGCGCAACCCUUGUCUCAUGUUGCCAGCACGUUAUGGUGGGGACUCGUGAGAGACUGCCGGGGUCAACUCGGAGGAAGGUGGGGAUGAGGUCAAGUCAUCAUGCCCCUUACGUCCAGGGCUGCACACAUGCUACAAUGGCCGGUACAACGGGCUGCUAAUCCGCGAGGAGGAGCCAAUCCCCAAAGCCGGUCUCAGUUCGGAUCGCAGUCUGCAACUCGACUGCAUGAAGUCGGAGUCGCUAGUAAUCCCGGAUCAGCAACGCCGGGGUGAAUACGUUCCCGGGCCUUGUACACACCGCAUAC
This 438-nucleotide ribosomal RNA is filed under the name uncultured bacterium. RNAcentral describes it as "bacterial SSU rRNA". It matches the Rfam family "Bacterial small subunit ribosomal RNA", at positions 958 to 1397 of the family's 1533-position model. The record is from RNAcentral.